This 66-nucleotide transfer RNA is filed under the name Oryzomys palustris (marsh rice rat). RNAcentral's name for it is "tRNA-Arg". The record is from RNAcentral. Lineage: Eukaryota; Metazoa; Chordata; Mammalia; Rodentia; Cricetidae.
GGCAGUUAGUUUAAACAAAAUAAAUGAUUUCAACUCAUUAGAUAAUGAGAUGAACCAUGACUACCA